UGAGAUUCAGAGUCAUCUUUUUGUUCCAGAAAAUUAUUUAGGGUUUAGGGUUUAGAGGCGAAAAGAUAAUAACUUACCCAGUCAAGAAGGUUGAAGGUCUCGACUCUGGAAAGUGUGAUCGUGUUGCUUCUUCCAUGAACGAUUUCUAGGGCCACAACUCCAAAACUAUAGACGUCUGCUUUAUCUGUCAAAUGACCUUUCAUGGCGUAUUCUGGAGCCAUGUAUCCGCUGCAUAAACAAGUUUGUUUUGGUUAUAAGAAAUCUUCAUAGAGCUGAAACUUCUUGUUUGACUCACUAUGUUCCUGCGACUCGUGUGCUGAUGUGUGUGUUUUCUUCUUCAUCAAGCUUAGCAAGACCGAAAUCCGAAAUCUUUGCGUUGAGUUCCUUAUCUAGCAAGACAUUAGUGGCUUUGAUGUCUCUGUGUACAAUCUUGAGUCUUGAUUCCUCAUGAAGAUAAGCUAAACCUCUAGUCUUUCCAUCGUUGAUAGAAUCAAGCUUCAUCACACUCCCAAUCUUCUCACUCACUAUAUCUACCAAAUACGGAUUCCUAUCAAACUUUAUUUCAACUCCAUACUCCUGAAAACAUUAAGCAUUUAUGGUUUAGUUUGGUUUAACUCAUCCCAGUUUUCUAUUUGACAGAUAUAUUUUGCGUAACCAGAACGAGUGUAUUAUUAUUACCUGGAAUGUGAAGGUUGAGAUAGUGUCUUCUGUGGUCAUAGUAUCGGGAGACUUGGGAACAGAAGAGUUGAGCAUACAUGUCAAAGACUGCCAUUGAUUUAGGCUAAGAGAAUCACCUACAAACAUUAUCUUCUUCCCUCUAUUUUUCUGCAAAAAAUCUACUCCAUUGAACCUACACAACAAAACAGUAAAAUAACGGUGGCUUCUUAAGGAAAGUGUGAUAAAUGAUAAUUAACGUGAAAAUCAAGAAAUUUGCUGGCUUGUGUGUUUGUUAUAUAUUCACAAUCGCACACUUGGAUCUUCAAAAAUAUACUAAGACUUCGGGACCUAGUAGUAAAUUGGAAUAGAAUCAUACCUGGAAACGGAAGUAGAUGCAAGUUCUGGACUUCUCCUUGGUCCCCUUUUGGUCAGUUGAUCUCCUACUUAGGGAACUCUGGUCCACGAACAACAGGCAUUCCGAUUACUGCCACGUUGGCUUCUCUUUGGAUCAACAACUCUUGGGCUCUGCCUUCGGCACGAUCAAACAAGAUGGAAGAGGUUUUGACUCAUCUUACUACAAUCUCCCUGUCUCUAUGUACGGAUAUUGCCGUCUGGGACACCUCAGGCUCUGGUCAAAACCAAAAGUUCUCCUCGGGUCAAAUUUACAAUCUAAUCAGAGAACAGAAGCCGGAAGUUCCAUGGAAAAACUUAGUCUGGCAAAAAAAGGGUAUUCCUAAAUUCAAAACUCUGACCUGGCUUUUUAUUCUUGAUCGUUGCCCAACUAGAAAUCGUUUGAUAAGCUGGGGCCUUCAAUCUGAUCCUACUUGCCUACUUUGUAAUCGUGAACCGGAGUCAAGGCAUCAUCUCUUCUUCUGAUGUGAUUACUCCUUCUCAGUUUGGGGCACACUUGCUAGAAACCUCAAUCUUCUCUUGCCGUCAAACUCUUGGAAUGAUACUCUUGAAGUUUUGAUAAAUCUGAAUGGGGAUCGCCACCUGCGGUUUCUGAUAACUCUGGCUUGGCAGGCUUCAAUCUAUGAGCUUUGGAGAGAACGCAACAACAGGCUCCACCGAAAAGUUUAUCGCUCCUCCUCUGCCAUUCUUUCAUCAAUUAAAGCGGUGAUCAAAAACAGGAUCUCUUCUUUCAGGGAUAUCAACGGCGACUUCUCCAGCACCACCAUGCAACUGUGGUUUGCUUCAGUUUGAAAGGGACGAUCGUUGUUCAGUCAAGCUCCGUGCUCACCUACUACACCUCUUCAAUUUCUCGUAAAGAAAAAAUGGGUCUCGUUGGGCCAUCCAUACACUUUCUCAAUAUUUUACUACGUGCUUCAAGCCCAAUUGGCCAUCUUCAGUCUCCCAUCUAGUAAUGUCAAAUGGGUGGGCUAUAAAUGGGUGGCCCGUGUCCAAAUAGAUAUGGACCGAAAUGGACAAGCCCAUAUUGAACCAUAAAUAAUUUUUGUCCAAAUGGGUGAACCCAACUACAUCUAUGGCCAAAUUUGGGCUUAACCAGUUGGACAAUGGGCGGCCCAAUAGGAUUAAAUGUCUAGGGUUUGAGAAUUGGGGAAAACACAAUUUUUUUUCUCACGAGUCGUGAGAGACAGAGAGAGCGCUUCUGCGAUUCUUCUUCGAUUCUUCUUUCUCAUUUUCGAUUCCUCUUCCUUGUAUUCGAUUCGUCUUCCUCUUCUUCGUUCUUCUUUGGUUCUCCUUCGAUUCCUUUGAUUCUCCUUCGAUUUCUGAGGCCAAAAACAAUCCUAAUCCCUUCGAUGGCCAGAAACAAGCUUUUGUUGUGGUUGUGGGUCGAGUCAGCACUGGCAUAGAAGCAAAACUAAAGGUUGAAAAUCUUUGAUUAGUUCCCUAAUUUUGGUUUGUUCUCGCACAAAUCAUGAAAUGGUUAAUUGUUGUCGAUGAACUUUUCAGGUGCUUUAUGGGUCUGGAGCUAGGAAGUUUGCGAGAAGCUGUUGCAGCUCUUGGUUGACUUCUCACGAAGGUAUUGUUUCGUUAUCUUCUCUUGAAUUUGUUUGCUCGCAAUAAACAUGACAAUAAGUUAAUACAGUUUUUGAACUGAUGUGUAGAUACGUUGGUUGUUUAAUUAAUAGAAAAACCAAAGUUGGUUUAGGUUGAUAUCUCCUCGUACAACUAUGGCUGAGCUGUUGAUGGCUGUGUUAUUUAAUUAAUACAUAACUAUGUAUAUGUUUGACGUGUUGUUGUUAUGUGGAUGAUGAAGUGUCUACUUAUUGUUAACUGAUGAUUUCUCUUAUUUGUUUAUUCCAAUAACGUGAUGAGUCUUGACUUUGCAAUCCUUUUUAAUUUUAAAAUCCUUUUGACUUUGCAAUCUAGAGAUAUUGAAUCCUUAUAAUAAUAAAAUCAAUCAAAGACUUUCUUUUGUUUACUGCUGUCUAGUGUCAUAUAUAGAACCUGCUCGUAUAUAGUAACAUAUGUCAUGUGACCUUUCCGUUAAGCUCGUAUAUAGAACCUGCUCGUAAAGAUCUCAUUGUUUUAAGCUUUGAUUUUGAUUAACUGAUCACUGAUGCUUUCUCUUGUUUGUUAACUGAUGCUUUUUCUUGUUUGUUCUCUUAUAUUAGUGUUGUUAUGCUGGUUUUUUAUUACAUUGCUUUAUUAGUAUGCGAGGAAAUCUGCUUUUGUCGGCUUUGGUUUCAGGGUUAACUCAUUAUCUUGACGCAAUCUGUUUUAGAAAUAUGUCUUUUAUAAAAGUAUCAAUAGCAAGUAGACAGGUUGAAUUGAAUUUGCGAGACCAAGAAUAUUAAAUAUUUUCUCUUGUUCUCUUUUGUGUAGAUGAAUGCAGAUACUUUGAACCUGAACGAUGAUGACUAUUUGAGUGUUGAAGAUAUGAUGGCUGAAAAUGAAGAUGAGCAGAAUGCACAAGCUGAUUCUGUAACGAGUGCUGCUCAGGCUAGAGGUAACAAACGUAGACACUCGGUAUGUUGGAAGAACUUCACAAUUAUAGGAGAUAAGUUGUCUGAUGGUAGUCAUAACAUUAAGUGCAAUCAUUGCCAUGAGCUCUACAACAUAGAUCUAGGUAGGAAUGGAACUAGUACUUUGCUUAGGCAUUCGAGACGGUGUUCAAAGACUCCUGGAUCUACACCUGGUAGUAAUAGGAAGCUAGAUAUGAUGGUCUUCCGUGAGAUGAUGGCUAUUGCUAUAGUAGAGCAUAAUCUGCCUUAUGCAUUUGUCGAGUAUAGAAGGGUGAGAGAUGCUCUUGCUUAUGCGAAUUCAAGUAUUGAAUUUUGGAGUAGGAACACGGCUGUGUCUGAUGUGCUUAGGAUUUUUGAGAAAGAGAAAGCCAAUCUUAGGAAGGUGUUGACUGAAGUUCCUGGUAGGAUCAGUUUCACUACUGAUCUUUGGAGAGCGAUCACGGUAGAGGGAUAUUUGUGUCUGACAGCUCACUAUCUUGACGCAAACUGGAAGCUACACGCGAAGAUAGUGUCAUUUUGUGCGUUUCCUCCUCCUCACACUGGUGCAAGCAUUGCUAUGAAGUUAAUGGAGAUUUUGAAAGAGUGGGGCUUAGAUAAGAAGGUGUUUACUGUAACGGUGGACAACGCUACUUCAAAUGAUAAUAUGCAAGGGUUUUUAAAGAGACAGCUUCGUAAGGAUUUGGUUUGUAGUGGUGAGUUUAUGCAUAUAAGAUGCGCGGCACACAUCUUGAACUUGAUUGUUCAAGAUGGAUUAUCAGUGAUUGGUGAAGCUCUAGAGAAGAUUAGGGACAGUGUGAAGUUUGUAAAAGGUUCGGAGUCUAGGGAGAAGAUGUUUGAAGCUUGUGUGGAAACUGUUGGGAUUGUGAAUAAGAAUGAUGCUGGUCUUAUUUUGGAUGUGGCAACGAGGUGGAACUCGACUUUCUUAAUGUUGUCUAGAGCUAUUAAGUUUAAGGAUGCAUUGCGUAAUCUCUCUGAAGUUGAGCCAAGCUACAAGUGUUUUCCUUCAGAAUUGGAAUGGUCAAGAGAAGCACUAAUCAAAGAGUUCUUGUCUCCAUUUUCUGAGAUGACAAAGCUGAUUUCAGGCUCCUCAUACCCUACUGCCAACUUAUACUUUAUGCAAGUGUGGAAAAUAGAGAGUUGGUUGAGAGAGCAUGCGACUUCAGAUGAUGAGAUAAUACGUGACAUGGUGAAGAUCACGAGGCUUAAAUUCGACAAAUAUUGGGAUGAUUACAGUGAUAUACUUGCAAUUGCUGCUGUCUUGGAUCCAAGAUUGAAAUUCGGGUGCUUAGAAUACUGUUAUAACACUUUGAACCCGUCAACAAGCAAGGCUAAAGUGGAUCACAUUCGUAAGAAGCUGGAAAAGUUGUUUGGAGUGUACAAGAAGAAUACUAAGGCCACUACUACAACCACUUCAGAAACAACAAUGGAGAACAGUCUACCUGUCGGAUAUGGAGUAAGUUUUCAAUCAAAGUCACUUGUUUUGCUCAUUGGUUUGCUCUUAAGUCUUAAUCACUUUUUUUUUAAUGUUUAUACUAUAGGGAUUUUAUGCAUUCAUUACUCAAAAUUCAGGAGAAGGGAAAUUAGCUUUAGAUGUGUACUUGGCUGAACCGGUCAUGGAUAUGAUUGCCUUCCCGAAACUAGAUGUUUUGGAAUAUUGGAAAAAUAAUAAAGCUCGGUUUAAGGAGUUGUCUCGUAUGGCGUGUGAUGUUCUUUGCAUCCCCAUAACAACUGUAUCUUCAGAAUCUUCUUUUAGUGUUGGAAGCCGGGUCCUUACUAAGUACAGAAGCCGACUGCUACCAUCCAAUGUACAAGCUCUCAUCUGUACAAGAAACUGGCUCCGUGGGUUUGAACCAAUGAGUAAGUCGUCUCAUCUAGAUUUCAUGUUGAUUCUGCUAUGUGAAAUGCUUAGUUUGAGGAUGAACUUGUACUUGAUGCUUAGUUAGGGGAUGAACUUGUAUUCUUUUGUCACAGGUUUAACAAGGUUUGUGUACACCAGUAGAAGCGUAAGAUUUGAUCAAUUUGUCCAUUUUUCAUAGGUUAAAAGUUUUAGUUAGUUGUGAGAAAUGCUCUGAUUUUUUCUUGAUGUUGUUGUGAAAAAUGCUCUGAUUUUUGCUUGCUGUCUUUGCUUAGAUUUAUAUGAACUCUUUGCUUGUUUCUGUUAUGUAUAUAUAGUCAUUUGGUUUGAUUCCAAUCUUGUAUCUUUUGCUUGUUAAUAUGUUAGGUGAUUCCGAAGAUGAAGAUGAGAUUGAGGAGAAUGAAGAUGAAAAUAAAGAAGAAGGAGAACAAGAACAAGAAGACGGUGGAAGAAAGAAGAAGAAGAAGGUGGUGACCAAGUGAAGAAAUGAAACCCUCUUUGUUAUAAAACAAUGUUCUGAACUUGUGAAAUGUAUUUUCACUUUUCAAUGCUGUGUGAACUUGUCUUUUUUUAUCACUUUGAACUUAUCUUUUGAAUUUAUCUUGUGUUUUUUAUAACUUUGAAACAUGAAGUUGAAAACACAAGUAUAUCAUAUUUAUAAAUCUUUUUAACUGUAUAUGACAUCUUUAAAAUUGAAAAACUUAAGAAUUUUUGCAUCUUUAGAACUGAAAUAUAUUGUUUACAUUAAGUGGGCACAUGGACCGUCCAUUGAUAACCCAACAAAUCAUGGUCCUAUUUGGUUAUGGUCUCAUUUGGACAUGGUCCUAUUUGGACUCCGACCAAAAAUGUCCAGCAGAAAACUGAAGCCCAUUCGGACACACCCAAACCCGUCCAACCCACCCAUUCGGACACACCCAAACCCGCCCAACCCGCCCAUUUGGGAGUCCCAUCACUUUACCUUUGCUCUCCUGGGCUUUGAUCCGUCCAUGUCAUCACGUUACUCAUUUGAUUCUUGUCAUGGGGUUUUAUUUUGGGGUUUUACUAAUGUGAAAACACUAUAGUGUUUGUAAUAAACUCUUGCCACCUUUUAAUAUAAUGCACCAAAUGUUAGCAAAAAAAAAAACAUCUAGAAACAACAACAAAGAAAGAAUAAAAAAGGUAUUAUAGAUUAACUGUACCAUGCUAAUUUGCAUCCCCGUGGUUGCCAUCUUAAGGUAGGGUAGUCGAGAUCCGGCCGUCCAUUUUUCUUGCAACCGAAUUCGCGUCUUAUGAAUGGACACGUGGAAGGAUCGUAGAGAGGGUAGGAAGGAUCCUUCACCCACUGUCCAGUGAACAUAUCACAUCCCUUUGCAAGAAGAGGAAGAAGGAGGAGCAGCGACAACACUAACAUAGAGCCAUAAGAAAUGGCUUUAUCCUGUAAACCCAUUUCACCACAGACGAGAGCGAGAGAUAAAGAGAGAUUCAAAUACACACCUGGGAUUUUAUACACCAUAUGUAUAUAUUAUAUAUGUAUAUAAUUUUGUUGUUUGUUUUUCUGAGUCAAAUACAUGAACUAUAAUGCCAUAUAAUGCGAUAUUCGUUUUGGUAAGAAAUCUUGAAAUCAAAUAUGAACAGUUCUUUGUAUAUAUCUAGGCUAUGAAUGCUGACAAAUGAACGAAGAGGAAUAAUGCAUUCCUAAUAAAGUUUAUCAUUUAUAGGAAUACUUAUUUUUUUUCAUUUUUUUAUUGUAGAGAAUUAAAGAAUAAAUUUGUUCCUCGCUAAAUUUGAUAUAGAAUAACCAUUCUUCGUCAUUCUUACGUAAUUUUAUUUUCAUCCAUUAUUUUUCUAUUUAUUUCUAGUAUUCCUGAGAUGGUUGACCUCUGGUCUUUAGCGGCAUGAACUUUCUAUAAUGGUUUUUCAGAUGUUGAUUAUAAAAUUAUAGUAACAUAAUAUUCACGGUCAACAAAUUUAAUGAUAUUACCUUUAGUGCAAAAUUAAAUCAUGCUCUGAUCGGUUUGUUCGCACCAUAAAUAUUUUGUGAAGACGUUUCUUUGUGUUUUUUUUUUCAGUUUAAAAGGAUUUCAAUUUGCAGGUGCCACCCCGUGAAAAAACUUAUUGACCUACAUAUUAAUAUAUUUAAUCAAUUCAUUAAGUUUAGUUGAAAAUAGUUUUGUAUAGAGCAAUAUUCCAAACGGCAGUAUAGAUGGAUCUUAACAAAUACAAGCCAAUCAUUUGUGAACAGAGGUACAGAUGUUGUAAGAACUACAACAAUAUUUUCGUAUAACUUAUAUAAUCCAAAUUAACUGUUAUGGUUAGCAAUCAAACAUAGUUCCAAAGUGUGCCCAUGUGGGGUUAAUUAGGCUUCGGUCAAAACAGCCCUAAUUAAUAAAAGAAACAAUAAUUUAUCUUCAUUGGCAUUAUUUCAUCUAAAUUGUCUUGGACAUGUUGAUUCCCUUCAGCAAAAAUAUAUCUCAUAUUAUGUGCUUCAAGAAACAUAACCUUGUAAUUGUCUUAAAUACAAAUUUAUCACAAUUCAAAAGUAAAUUUUACAAAAAGGAAAACAAAAAGAAAAGACACAAUUACUUGCUUCAUAGUGUUUUUUUUUUUAACAUAAUGCAUAACUAAACGGCCCUAGAGUUCCAAUAAGCAGAAUCAGGCUUAAGAGGGUAAAGAUCACUGGCGUUGGCCGUGGAAGUAGAAGACGACGUGAAUGGCCCGUCGGUGCUGAUAGUCUGAUCCAACAUAUUCAUCUCCUCUUCAUUUAUCAUCGCGUAAUGCUUCUUCAUCGCCCUCACGCUCUCGUUAUCUUUCUCGCUUCCUUUGUUGAAGGAAGCUUCAAGAAGCUUCUCAACAUUCACCGUGGAACUUCCUUCGAGAAUGCUCACCACCGUCGACAUGGAUGGUCUUUCCGACGAAACUUGACUGGUGCAGAGGAUCCCUAUCUGGAUCAUGGUCAUUGCUUCUUCUCUGUUGUAAUCUGUUCCAAGCCUCGGGUCAACUACUUCCAUCAGUUUGUUUUGCUCCCUUAGAACGUGUACCUUUGGAAAUAUAUUGAGAUUCAGAGUCAUCAUUUUGUUUCAGAAAAGUAUUUAGGGUUUAGCGUUUAGAGUCAGAAAAAAUAAUAACUUACCCAGUCAAGAAGGUUAAAGGUCUCGACUCUGGAACGUGUGAUCGUGUUGCUUCUUCCAUGAACGAUUUCUAGGGCCACAACUCCAAAACUAUAGACGUCUGCUUUAUCUGUCAAAUGACCUUUCAUGGCGUAUUCUGGAGCCAUGUAUCCG
Molecule: long non-coding RNA, 8702 nt
Filed under: Brassica napus (rape)
Lineage: Eukaryota; Viridiplantae; Streptophyta; Magnoliopsida; Brassicales; Brassicaceae
Description: long non-coding RNA (BNAP_LNC017898)
Source: RNAcentral